RNAcentral lists this RNase P RNA (264 nucleotides) under Candidatus Methanolliviera hydrocarbonicum. RNAcentral describes it as "RNase P RNA component". It matches the Rfam family "Archaeal RNase P". From Rfam's summary of the family: Ribonuclease P (RNase P) is a ubiquitous endoribonuclease, found in archaea, bacteria and eukarya as well as chloroplasts and mitochondria. Its best characterised activity is the generation of mature 5'-ends of tRNAs by cleaving the 5'-leader elements of precursor-tRNAs. Lineage: Archaea; Methanobacteriati; Methanobacteriota; Candidatus Methanoliparia; Candidatus Methanoliparales; Candidatus Methanollivieraceae. The record is from RNAcentral.
GAGAGGAGAAGGGCGGCUGCCGGUGCCUUAUGGGUGCUGAGGAAAGUCCCCCCACCAUAGAUAAGCGAGUAGGAUUAUCUACCUCCCGAGAGGGUGGGCUCUGGCACAGAAACGACACGUCUGCACGAAAGAUGACGAUGAUGUGGUUAAAAGCCAUUGAGGAUUCGGGCAGGAUCGUUGAAACGGCGAAACCUCGCAGGUGCAAGUCUUUUAGACGCUUAGAUGAAUGCCGCCAAAACAGAAGGGGGCUUACUCUCUCCUCUC